RNAcentral lists this transfer RNA (76 nucleotides) under Cephaloziella sp. VAA-2013b. RNAcentral's name for it is "partial tRNA-Leu". It matches the Rfam family "tRNA", at positions 10 to 71 of the family's 71-position model. From Rfam's summary of the family: Transfer RNA (tRNA) molecules are approximately 80 nucleotides in length. Their secondary structure includes four short double-helical elements and three loops (D, anti-codon, and T loops). Lineage: Eukaryota; Viridiplantae; Streptophyta; Jungermanniopsida; Jungermanniales; Cephaloziellaceae. The record is from RNAcentral.
UCGAAAUCGGUGGACGCUACGGACUUAAAAUCCGUUGGCUUUUUAGACCGUGAGGGUUCAAGUCCCUCUACCCCCA